GCUCCCAUGGCGUAGUGGUCACUGCACUCGCCUAGCACGCGGGAGACCCGGGUUCGAUUCCCGGUUAGUAGCA
RNAcentral lists this transfer RNA (73 nucleotides) under Diaphorina citri (Asian citrus psyllid). It matches the Rfam family "tRNA". Rfam says of the family: Transfer RNA (tRNA) molecules are approximately 80 nucleotides in length. Their secondary structure includes four short double-helical elements and three loops (D, anti-codon, and T loops). Further hydrogen bonds mediate the characteristic L-shaped molecular structure. tRNAs have two regions of fundamental functional importance: the anti-codon, which is responsible for specific mRNA codon recognition, and the 3' end, to which the tRNAs corresponding amino acid is attached (by aminoacyl-tRNA synthetases). tRNAs cope with the degeneracy of the genetic code in two manners: having more than one tRNA (with a specific anti-codon) for a particular amino acid; and 'wobble' base-pairing, i.e. permitting non-standard base-pairing at the 3rd anti-codon position. Lineage: Eukaryota; Metazoa; Arthropoda; Insecta; Hemiptera; Psyllidae. The record is from Rfam by way of RNAcentral.